RNAcentral lists this ribosomal RNA (214 nucleotides) under Triticum aestivum (bread wheat). RNAcentral's name for it is "partial small subunit ribosomal RNA". Lineage: Eukaryota; Viridiplantae; Streptophyta; Magnoliopsida; Poales; Poaceae. The record is from RNAcentral.
CUUACAAUCUUUAUUCGGUACGCAAGUACACGCACGCACGCAACACACACGAACACCGUACGCACACACAGCGACCCAUCCGCACUCUCGGCCUCGAUCGAUCGGUCCGGCUUGAACCACCGACGAUCCACACCAACAAUCGCGUACGUACGUGACCAUCAAUCGACCAAUCGGCCGGACCUCAAUCACCGGCCAUCACCACCGGCACACCACG